Molecule: ribosomal RNA, 685 nt
Filed under: Rhizobium sp. IND-2
Lineage: Bacteria; Pseudomonadati; Pseudomonadota; Alphaproteobacteria; Hyphomicrobiales; Rhizobiaceae
Description: bacterial SSU rRNA
Rfam family: Bacterial small subunit ribosomal RNA
Source: RNAcentral
AGAGUUUGAUCCUGGCUCAGAACGAACGCUGGCGGCAGGCUUAACACAUGCAAGUCGAACGCCCCGCAAGGGGAGUGGCAGACGGGUGAGUAACGCGUGGGAACAUACCCUUUCCUGCGGAAUAGCUCCGGGAAACUGGAAUUAAUACCGCAUACGCCCUACGGGGGAAAGAUUUAUCGGGGAAGGAUUGGCCCGCGUUGGAUUAGCUAGUUGGUGGGGUAAAGGCCUACCAAGGCGACGAUCCAUAGCUGGUCUGAGAGGAUGAUCAGCCACAUUGGGACUGAGACACGGCCCAAACUCCUACGGGAGGCAGCAGUGGGGAAUAUUGGACAAUGGGCGCAAGCCUGAUCCAGCCAUGCCGCGUGAGUGAUGAAGGCCUUAGGGUUGUAAAGCUCUUUCACCGGAGAAGAUAAUGACGGUAUCCGGAGAAGAAGCCCCGGCUAACUUCGUGCCAGCAGCCGCGGUAAUACGAAGGGGGCUAGCGUUGUUCGGAAUUACUGGGCGUAAAGCGCACGUAGGCGGAUAUUUAAGUCAGGGGUGAAAUCCCGGAGCUCAACUCUGGAACUGCCUUUGAUACUGGGUAUCUUGAGUAUGGAAGAGGUAAGUGGAAUUCCGAGUGUAGAGGUGAAAUUCGUAGAUAUUCGGAGGAACACCAGUGGCGAAGGCGGCUUACUGGUCCAUUACU